RNAcentral lists this ribosomal RNA (656 nucleotides) under Salmonella enterica. RNAcentral's name for it is "partial 23S ribosomal RNA". It matches the Rfam family "Bacterial large subunit ribosomal RNA", at positions 1 to 672 of the family's 2925-position model. The record is from RNAcentral. Lineage: Bacteria; Pseudomonadati; Pseudomonadota; Gammaproteobacteria; Enterobacterales; Enterobacteriaceae.
GGGUUGUGAGGUUAAGCGACUAAGCGUACACGGUGGAUGCCCUGGCAGUCAGAGGCGAUGAAGGGCGUGCUAAUCUGCGAUAAGCGCCGGUAAGGUGAUAUGAACCGUUAUAACCGGCGAUACCCGAAUGGGGAAACCCAGUGUGACUCGUCACACUAUCAUUAACUGAAUCCAUAGGUUAAUGAGGCGAACCGGGGGAACUGAAACAUCUAAGUACCCCGAGGAAAAGAAAUCAACCGAGAUUCCCCCAGUAGCGGCGAGCGAACGGGGAGGAGCCCAGAGCCUGAAUCAGCAUAUGUGUUAGUGGAAGCGUCUGGAAAGGCGCGCGAUACAGGGUGACAGCCCCGUACACAAAAGCGCAUGUGCUGUGAGCUCGAUGAGUAGGGCGGGACACGUGGUAUCCUGUCUGAAUAUGGGGGGACCAUCCUCCAAGGCUAAAUACUCCUGACUGACCGAUAGUGAACCAGUACCGUGAGGGAAAGGCGAAAAGAACCCCGGCGAGGGGAGUGAAAAAGAACCUGAAACCGUGUACGUACAAGCAGUGGGAGCCCCACCACUAAGCCAGUGGUGAACUCCACAUACGCAUCCUUUGCUGAGGAUACGGUUAACGGAGCGAAAGCGACGUUCAACCUCAAAAGAAGCAGAGGGGGCUUAGU